UUAGUCUAUAAGGUGCCACAGGAUUCUUUGCUGCUUAUGCAAGUGACAGACAUGAGAAAUCCAUUUGUGUGGGCAAAAGACUCAUACCUGCGAAUGAUAGGAGCCAUCUUAUCUCUUGAGGUAUUUGCCUAUAAGAUAUGUCUCUCUUUUUUAAAAUCCAUACUUUGUUAAAAAAAGAUCUUGAUUUGAAAUUCUAAAAGUGAAGGAGCAAAAACCGUAAAUCGGUGUUUCUCAAACUGGGGUCGCUGCUUGUGUAGGGAAAGCCCCUGGCGGGUAAGGCCGGUAAACAAACCGGCCCCAGUUUGAGAAACACUGCCGUAAAUAGAGUGACAAUUUCAGAAUUCCCUGCUUACCAUUCAUUCCUUGAAAUGAAUCUAUAUUCUCAAUUAUUUUUAACCAAAUAAAAAUCUUAUAGAAACAUA
Long non-coding RNA from Mauremys mutica (yellowpond turtle), 422 nucleotides. RefSeq lists it as uncharacterized. The transcript has 2 exons. The record is from RefSeq and is a predicted model, not a curated record. NCBI's taxonomy places the organism in Eukaryota, Metazoa, Chordata, Testudines, Geoemydidae.